ACCAGUACCGUGAGGGAAAGGCGAAAAGAACCCCUGUGAGGGGAGUGAAAUAGAACCUGAAACCGUAUACGUACAAGCAGUGGGAGCAGACUUGUUCUGUGACUGCGUACCUUUUGUAUAAUGGGUCAGCGACUUAUAUUUAGUAGCAAGGUUAAGCGAAUAGCGGAGCCGUAGCGAAAGCGAGUGUUAACUGCGCGUUUAGUUGCUAGGUAUAGACCCGAAACCCGGUGAUCUAGCCAUGGGCAGGUUGAAGGUUGAGUAACAUCAACUGGAGGACCGAACCCACUAACUUUGAAAAGUUAGGGGAUGACUUGUGGCUGGGGGUGAAAGGCCAAUCAAACCGGGAGAUAGCUGGUUCUCCCCGAAAUCUAUUUAGGUAGAGCCUCGGACGAAUUCCAUUGGGGGUAGAGCACUGUUAAGGCUAGGGGGUCAUCCCGACUUACCAACCCUUUGCAAACUCCGAAUACCAAUGAGAACUAUCCGGGAGACACACGGCGGGUGCUAACGUCCGUCGUGAAGAGGGAAACAACCCAGACCGCCAGCUAAGGUCCCAAAUACCAAUUAAGUGGGAAACGAUGUGGGAAGGCUUAGACAGCUAGGAGGUUGGCUUAGAAGCAGCCAUCCUUUAAAGAUAGCGUAACAGCUCACUGGUCUAAAUAAGUUGUCCUGCGGCGAAGAUGUAACGGGGCUCAAGCCAUGAGCCGAAACUUCGGAUGCAUUUAAUGCAUGGUAGCGGAGCGUAGUGUGAC
Molecule: ribosomal RNA, 749 nt
Filed under: Ctenophora environmental sample
Lineage: Eukaryota; Metazoa; Ctenophora
Description: partial Bacterial large subunit ribosomal RNA
Rfam family: Bacterial large subunit ribosomal RNA
Source: RNAcentral